GCCUCCGAUGUGCGUCCGCUGAACUUAAGCAUGGCAGCCAUUAUGCGAGCUAAGGUACACUUCCAUCAAUAAGCGCCUUAGUCGGACCCUAAUUGCGUGGCAAUUCCAGGAGACCCGCAUAUAUCCACCGCCAAUGGACGGCCUUUUAACGCGGCGAAGUUUCCGCUCAGGAUUAUUCCUUGGAAUAGGACGUCAUAGAGGGUGAAAAUCCCG
Molecule: ribosomal RNA, 213 nt
Filed under: Quambalaria eucalypti
Lineage: Eukaryota; Fungi; Basidiomycota; Exobasidiomycetes; Microstromatales; Quambalariaceae
Description: partial large subunit ribosomal RNA
Source: RNAcentral